UACGGAGGGUGCAAGCGUUAUCCGGAUUCACUGGGCUUAAAGGGUGCGUAGGUGGGCAGGUAAGUCAGUGGUGAAAUCUCUGGGCUCAACUCAGAAACUGCCAUUGAUACUAUUUGUCUUGAAUACCGUGGAGGUCAGCGGAAUAUGUCAUGUAGCGGUGAAAUGCUUAGAUAUGACAUAGAACACCAAUUGCGAAGGCAGCUGGCUACACGAAUAUUGACACUGAUGCACGAAAGCGUGGGGAUCAAACAGG
This 253-nucleotide ribosomal RNA is filed under the name uncultured bacterium. RNAcentral's name for it is "partial 16S ribosomal RNA". It matches the Rfam family "Bacterial small subunit ribosomal RNA", at positions 524 to 776 of the family's 1533-position model. The record is from RNAcentral.